UUUUGCAAGUUAUCCUUCCACUUCUUUCGAUUCCUAUUCCUUGUAUGUAAUAGCAGUGUUACUUCCUUGCAACAUUGAUCUUCAUCAAAGGUCUUAUUUUCAAAUCUGAUCAAAUUUCUGUUCCUCCAUAGUAAUGCAACAGGGGUCACAAAUGCAGUUGCAGUGACCUCUUUCUUCCAGCUUUUACUCUUAGCAUUGUUACAGAU
This 206-nucleotide long non-coding RNA is filed under the name Nicotiana benthamiana. Its description in RNAcentral is "long non-coding RNA (NBEN_LNC029254)". The record is from RNAcentral. Lineage: Eukaryota; Viridiplantae; Streptophyta; Magnoliopsida; Solanales; Solanaceae.